RNAcentral lists this ribosomal RNA (910 nucleotides) under Mycolicibacterium llatzerense. Its description in RNAcentral is "bacterial SSU rRNA". It matches the Rfam family "Bacterial small subunit ribosomal RNA", at positions 68 to 994 of the family's 1533-position model. Lineage: Bacteria; Bacillati; Actinomycetota; Actinomycetes; Mycobacteriales; Mycobacteriaceae. The record is from RNAcentral.
GGAAAGGCCCUUCGGGGUACUCGAGUGGCGAACGGGUGAGUAACACGUGGGUGAUCUGCCCUGCACUUUGGGAUAAGCCUGGGAAACUGGGUCUAAUACCGAAUAGGACCACGCGCUUCAUGGUGUGUGGUGGAAAGCUUUUGCGGUGUGGGAUGGGCCCGCGGCCUAUCAGCUUGUUGGUGGGGUAAUGGCCUACCAAGGCGACGACGGGUAGCCGGCCUGAGAGGGUGACCGGCCACACUGGGACUGAGAUACGGCCCAGACUCCUACGGGAGGCAGCAGUGGGGAAUAUUGCACAAUGGGCGCAAGCCUGAUGCAGCGACGCCGCGUGAGGGAUGACGGCCUUCGGGUUGUAAACCUCUUUCACCAGGGACGAAGCGUAAGUGACGGUACCUGGAGAAGAAGCACCGGCCAACUACGUGCCAGCAGCCGCGGUAAUACGUAGGGUGCGAGCGUUGUCCGGAAUUACUGGGCGUAAAGAGCUCGUAGGUGGUUUGUCGCGUUGUUCGUGAAAACUCACAGCUUAACUGUGGGCGUGCGGGCGAUACGGGCAGACUAGAGUACUGCAGGGGAGACUGGAAUUCCUGGUGUAGCGGUGGAAUGCGCAGAUAUCAGGAGGAACACCGGUGGCGAAGGCGGGUCUCUGGGCAGUAACUGACGCUGAGGAGCGAAAGCGUGGGGAGCGAACAGGAUUAGAUACCCUGGUAGUCCACGCCGUAAACGGUGGGUACUAGGUGUGGGUUCCUUCCUUGGGAUCCGUGCCGUAGCUAACGCAUUAAGUACCCCGCCUGGGGAGUACGGCCGCAAGGCUAAAACUCAAAGGAAUUGACGGGGGCCCGCACAAGCGGCGGAGCAUGUGGAUUAAUUCGAUGCAACGCGAAGAACCUUACCUGGGUUUGACAUGCACAGG